RNAcentral lists this unclassified non-coding RNA (1328 nucleotides) under Hevea brasiliensis (rubber tree). The record is from RNAcentral. Lineage: Eukaryota; Viridiplantae; Streptophyta; Magnoliopsida; Malpighiales; Euphorbiaceae.
CCAGCACUCAUGCACUAAAUGCAAAUAGCAAAAUUCAGAUACACAUUUCAAUAGUUUGCAACCCAAAACACAACUACAAGCAGUGAUUUGCACAAAGCUCUGUCAUUGCUUUUAUAAUUUCUGCCUUCCCUCCAAAAUGCGGUUUAUUAAGUUUUUACCAAAAGUGAAUCAGAAAACAUAAUAAAAUUGAUAACGCAUGUAAACCACAAAAAAGGGUAAAAAAAAAGGAAAUUGACCAGCAGAACAUACAGGAAAUGAUUAAAAAAAAAGGGCAAUCAUUUGCUGAUGAGAACUUGAAAUAUGGGGGGAAAACCAUUUCUACAAGGAGGAUUUCAGUCUUAUCAUUCGUGACCUUAACCAUUGUUGUUUGCCUGCAGUUGAACUUCAAGAUAUCUCCUCGGUUAUAUGCAUAUUACUUGGUUGAAGUGUUCUAUUUCUUGUAUCAAGCUUGACCCACACAUUUUACUAACAUUCACAUGGAAGAGUUAGGCAUGCAUUUGACAAACUGGCAGCAUCAUUUUGCAUUGUUUUCUACUCUCAUGUCCGCUCCAUGAACCACUCUAGAUCCAAAAGGGUAAAUUGUUUUUAAGAGUAUAUUAGUCAUUGGAGAUUUCAGAAUACUUUGUGAAGAACCCUGACUGGAGCCUACAAAAAUAGAGAGAUAACCCAAUCAAAGAUCAACGGAAGAACAAAAAAGUAAGGCAUGCUAGGCCUGAUCAUUGAUUCCAUGCUAAACAUCUUUAAUUAAAUAUCUUGGUUUACAAAAUAAUUGCAAAGAAAAUAUACUGAAUUCCACUGCAAACUUAAAUGCAAGGUUUUCAGAUCUUCUCACCUUGAUCAAACUCACAUGGAAAGCCACUAGAUCUAUAUAGGAACGUAUCUUUUGUGACAGGACUUCACUAAAAAUUCUGACUGCAGAGGAACAUGUUGCAAGUCAGUUUAUAGAAAGUUAAAAAGUAUUUGUUUUAAAAAGAGAACUCAAUAAAUUAUGAAUAUGAAAUAUGAUAAGGGUUUUAUUAAAAAUAUAACACCUAAGUUUCUAUGCUUUUUGUAUUUUCAGUGAUGUAAGAAGGUAUUUCCCAAGAUAGAAAUAUUUAAUUUAAUUUAAUUAAGCAGUUAAACCAACUACAUAAACUAAAGAAUAUUGUUUAGGAUGAAUUCACGAUAUGUAACCUUCAUAAACACUCACCUUGGAUAAAGAAUGAUCUUCAUCUAAAUCCAAACCUCUUCAACCAGCAAUAUUGAACCCCGUCAAACAAGACUUUCAUAUCAGAAACAGAAGAAAUAAAUAAAUAAAUAUAUGAUUUUGUUGACUCUUAAUAUUCCGU